Molecule: ribosomal RNA, 1262 nt
Filed under: Therea petiveriana
Lineage: Eukaryota; Metazoa; Arthropoda; Insecta; Blattodea; Corydiidae
Description: partial 18S ribosomal RNA
Rfam family: Eukaryotic small subunit ribosomal RNA
Source: RNAcentral
AAUGGCUCAUUAAAUCAGUUAUGGUUCCUUAGAUGGUGGACAGUUACUUGGAUAACUGUGGUAAUUCUAGAGCUAAUACAUGAAACUCGGUCCCGACCGGAAGCGGAAGGGACGCUUUUAUUAGAUCAAAACCAAUCGGUCCUCGUGGCCGUUUGCCUUGGUGACUCUGAAUAAAUUGUGGCAGAUCGCACGGUCUCUGUACCGGCGACGCAUCUUUCAAAUGUCUGCCUUAUCAACUGUCGAUGGUAGGUUCUGCGCCUACCAUGGUUGUAACGGGUAACGGGGAAUCAGGGUUCGAUUCCGGAGAGGGAGCCUGAGAAACGGCUACCACAUCCAAGGAAGGCAGCAGGCGCGCAAAUUACCCACUCCCGGCACGGGGAGGUAGUGACGAAAAAUAACGAUACGGGACUCAUCCGAGGCCCCGUAAUCGGAAUGAGCACACUUUAAAUCCUUUAACGAGUAUCCAUUGGAGGGCAAGUCUGGUGCCAGCAGCCGCGGUAAUUCCAGCUCCAAUAGCGUAUAUUAAAGUUGUUGCGGUUAAAAAGCUCGUAGUCGGACUUGUGUCCCACGCUGCCGGUUCACCGCCCGUCGGUGUCUAACUGGCAUGCACGUGCGGACGUCCUGCCGGUGGCCGGAGGGCCUACUCAUACCCGUCGCGGUGCUCUUAACCGAGUGUCUCGAUGGGCCGGCACGUUUACUUUGAACAAAUUAGAGUGCUUAAAGCAGGCAGCAUCCGCCUGAAUACCGAGUGCAUGGAAUAAUGGAAUAGGACCUCGGUUCUAUUUUGUUGGUUUUCGGAAUCCCCGAGGUAAUGAUCAAUAGGGACAGACGGGGGCAUUCGUAUUGCGACGUUAGAGGUGAAAUUCUUGGAUCGUCGCAAGACGGACCGAAGCGAAAGCAUUUGCCAAGCAUGUUUUCUCUGAUCAAGAACGAAAGUUAGAGGUUCGAAGGCGAUCAGAUACCGCCCUAGUUCUAACCAUAAACGAUGCCAGCCAGCAAUCCGCCGAAGUUCCUCCGAUGACUCGGCGGGCGGCUUCCGGGAAACCAAAGCUUUUGGGUUCCGGGGGAAGUAUGGUUGCAAAGCUGAAACUUAAAGGAAUUGACGGAAGGGCACCACCAGGAGUGGAGCCUGCGGCUUAAUUUGACUCAACACGGGAAACCUCACCAGGCCCGGACACCGGGAGGAUUGACAGAUUGAGAGCUCUUUCUUGAUUCGGUGGGUGGUGGUGCAUGGCCGUUCUUAGUUGGUGAGGCGAUUUGUC